Molecule: long non-coding RNA, 7092 nt
Filed under: Daucus carota (carrot)
Lineage: Eukaryota; Viridiplantae; Streptophyta; Magnoliopsida; Apiales; Apiaceae
Description: long non-coding RNA (DCAR_LNC005883)
Source: RNAcentral
GGCUAUAUGCGCCCAAAGCUAUGGAGCUCUUGUAGUAGUCGUGUGACCUGGUUAUAUCAUUAUUGAACCUGUCAACGAAGGAGAGAUCAUGGUUCUUGAAAAACUCUUCAGCUGCACUGGCAGAAAGAAUCACCAUGGUCUUGACAGGUCCAAGAUUUAGCCACACAACAGGACCAUAUUUUUGUUUCAGCGCAGCUAGACUUCUGUGUGGUGAAGCUCCAAGAUCAAAUAUAUUGCCAAUGACUGGCCAGCCUCGAGGCCCCGGAGGAAGCUUGGAUCGUCUGUAACUAUUCUUCCUCCUCAAAUGCCAAGCAAGCGGCAUCAGAGUGAUCAAAAUGGACCAAAGAACAUAGUUCCACAUCCACUCCAUGCUCAGAUUACAGAUUUGCUACCAAAUGAGAGUUGACCUGUAUGCCAGGAAAGCCAUAUUACGUCAAAGUCAAAAAUGGCUUAAAGUCCGGGACUUUAAGUCCUGCCAAACAGGCUCUAAACAUACACAUAUCACAUUUCAUAACAAAUGAAAAAAUGUACCUUCUUUAAGUGUCUGGAGAGUGCUGCACUGCUGUUUGUUCACAGAUAUAAUUAAGAUCAGCACAGAUGAGAAUUAAUUUAUAUUUGAAAAUUCUCAAACAAUAUCAUACAAUAAGACAAAUAUAACCAAAGAGUCAAAACUUUAGACUAAUGUUCACCUGCUCCACAUAAUUAAGCACACACUACUUGAUUUAUUAAUUCUAAGCACACCACUUAUUUUAGAAAUGGAAGGCCAGGCCAGGGCAAUUUAAAUGGACAGUAGUCAAGGCCCAAAACUUAAAGAGGCCCAAUUUUUAUAUAUCUUAGUAUCUUAUAAUAUUUUCUGCUAAACAUUUAUUUUGCAAUCUUAAUAGUAAAAAAAUAAUUUAAGAAAAAAUUCUUUAUUAUUGUUGCAUUUCACACUUUACAAAUCACAAUUUUAAUAUCAUCUACUUUCUUCACUUUUUCUAAUAAAAGAUGCAAGAUCAAGGACAUUUUUAAAAUUUUCUGCAUCCUCAUUUUCAGGAUACCUAACAUUUUUCGUAAGUAAAUGAUUGAAAAUAAAUUGAUGUAAAAAUAAGAAAUAUUAUAUAAAUAUCACAAUUAUAACUUAAGAAAUAAUAUAAUAUUAUUAAUUUAGGUAAAUAAUAGUGAGAAACAAUAAGAAAAUGAGAAAUAAGUUGGAGAGAGGGUUAGUGGACAUGAGAAUUAAAAUGAGAAAGAAUUAAAUGAAGAUGAGUGAAUGUGUGUAUUACCAUACUAUGGGAGGUUAACAAAUUUUUUUUAUGUCAUUGGAUUUCUUUCUUUUAUUACCAUACUAUAAUAUUUGCUAGGUUUGUAUCCCAUUUAUAUAGUAAAAACUUAUAAAUAUUGAAUUAUAAUAAAUGGAUAUUAAUAUUAUAAUUAAAUGUAUUUAUAAUUUUGAAAUACGAUUAUGAGUUUACAAAUGAAAAAAAUAUAUAUAAUUAAAUAUUUUUAAUCAAAUAAUUUAUUAUAAUUCUUGUCUAGCACACAUUUAUAUACAAAUCUAUCUACUUAUCAUAUUGUAUUAAACUCAAAUAUUAAAAUUUGGUUGGUAAUAAAAUUGGUUAGUAAUUAUUAAAGUUAGUAAUAACAUAACGGUAUUGAAAUUUGAUUAUAUAAUAUGGAUGGAUCAUCAUCCCUGGAAAAUAUUAAACAAUAUUAUAAUACAAAAUUUAUUAAGACAAGGGUGAUUUUAUUGUCAAACAAGUACCCCAUCAGAGAGGUACUAAAUUUUCUUCACCAAUUGAUUGUACAGAUGAUCAUGCAGUCAUUUGUUUCGCAACUGCUCUUAAUGGCACUAGUUUUCUUGCUGAUACCCCCAUUGCUUCUCUCAUGUCCAUUCUAAUCUCACCACCAACACUUUCACAAAGCUUCCAGUCGAAAUGAUGAAGCAAUGAGCCUAAAAUGAGAGGAAGAACACGAUGAGCCAAAGGAAGACCAGGGCAAAUUCUUCUCCCAGCACCAAAUGGUAUAAACUUGAAACUCUGGCCGAUACUCGACUCCAAGAAUCUUUCACGUUUGAAAGACAAAGCAUCCUCCCAAUUCUCUUCGUCUCUCUCAAUACCCCAAGCAUUGACAAAAACUUGUGUAUUUUUAGGAAUGUUAUAGCCCAUGAAGGUUGUAUCUUGGACCGCCUUUCUUGGUAGCAUGAGUGGAACUGAAGCAUGUAAGCGUAGUGAUUCUUCCACAGUUGCUUGCAAGUAAGGUAGAUUAUUAAUGUCACUCUCUUCCAGUUCCUUGUUUGCUCCCACAACUCUACCAAGCUCGGCUUUGAUCUUCUUCAUUGAUUCAGGAUUUGUUAAGAGCUCACACAUCGCCCACUCAAUUGUGGAGCUUGUUGUUUCUGUUCCCGCAAUAAACAUUUCCUGAAACAAUAACAUAAUCUCAAACUCACACACACACAUUCAUUCUCUCUUUAACUUGCCAUAUACAUUUCUAAUUGGACUUACCAUUAGAAAGAUAGUUAUUUGGUGGUCUGAUAGUUUAGCUGGUUCAUCUUUUCCAUUACCCUCGUAAUCCAGCACCACGUCCAUGAAGUCCUUGUGCUCUGUUGCCCUUCCUUCCCCAUGUUGCCGUUGUUUCACACGCUCCCUCACAAAUCCUGAAAUAAUUUGCAUUGCUUUUUUCAGAUCUCGAUCUGUCCUCCUCCUUAAUCCUUGAAGGUCAAGCCAUCUAAGCCAGGGAAACAGAUCGGAGAUAUUAGGACUUGACAAACAUUCUGAGAAUCCUGACAAAGCCGAGUAAAAUUCAGAGGCCAUCUCAGAAUUCGGGUGCAUCAAGUCUUGAGACAGUGUCAGAUUUCCAAUCAUGUUAAAUAUUGCUGGGAACAGAAAACUUUUUACUUCAAUUUCACCAGUUGCACUUUCUACUAAUUCCUUUUCUAUCCACGACAACAUCUUAUUGACACAUCUUUGCCUGACUAAAACUGUUUCAUUAAUUUUCUUAUUACUGAAGAGCUCAACUGUACAGAUCCGCCUCAAGGUGCGCCAGUAGGGGCUACAUUUGCCUAAUACCAUAGAGCUCUUGUAGUAGUCAUUUGCCCUCAUCACAUCAUUAUUAAACCGGUCAAUAAAGGAGAGAUCAUGGUUCUUGAACAACUCUUCAGCUGCACCAGCAGAAAGAAUCACCAUGGUCUUGACAGGUCCUAAAUUUAGCCACACAACAGGACCGUAUUUUUGUUUCAGUGCAGCUAGACUUCUGUGUGGUGAAGCUCCAAGAUCAAAUAUAUUGCCAAUGACUGGCCAGCCUCGAGGUCCCGGAGGAAGCUUGGAGCGUCUGUAACUAUUCUUUCUCCACAAGUGCCAAGAAAGCGGCAUCAGAGUGAUCAAAAUGGACCAAAGAACAUAGUUCCACAUCCACUCCAUGCUCAGAUUACAGAUUUGCUACCAAAUGAGAGUUGUCCUGUAUGCCAGGAAAGCCAUGUUACGUCAAAGUCAAAAAAUGACUUAAAGCCCGGGACUUUAAGUCCUGCCAAACCGGCUCUAAACAUACACAUAUCACAUUUCAUAACAAAUGAAAAAAUGUACCUUCUUCAAGUGUCUGGAGAACUGCUAGUGCUGCACUGCUGUUUGUUCAAAGAUAUAAUUAAAUCAGCUCAGAUAAGAUUUAAUUUAUAUUUGAAAAUUCUGAAACAAUAGCAUAUAAGACAAAUAUAACCAAAGAGUCAAAACUUGAGAGUAAUUCUAAGCACACCACUUAUUUUAAAAAUGAAAAGCAUGUUAACUUGUAUACUUGCUUUACUGAUGUAAAGCAUGCUAAAUUCUUGUACAUCUUAAUCAUGGGUAAAUUUUUUUCAAAACUAGGGUUUUUUUUAUCACGUAACUUUUGAUUAUUAAUGUAUAAAUUGGAGGCUGAGCGUUCUACACUAUAAUCAAAAUUUGGAGACCUCCGUCAAAUCUGGCUCUGAUACCAUGUUGAGAACUAGUCCUUUUAAAAUCUUAAUCAAAACUUGAGAUCUCUGCCAAACCUGGCUCUGAUAUCAUGUUGAGUUUGGCUCUGAUACCAUGUUGAGAACCUGUCCAUCUAAAAUCUUAAUCAAAACUUGAGACACUUGACUCUGAUGUCAUGUUUAUCUAAAACCUUGAAGUGUUAGAGGAAGGUCCUGAAUAUAUAUUACGUUAUAUUUCAACAAAUGGAAUUUGUAUCUCGUUGUAAUUCAAGAACUCUUCUGAAAUUACAAUAUCAAAUUAUUAAAUCAAGUUGUGUAGGAAAUUUUGUCGCAGCUUCCAAAAUAAUAAUACAUUUUAUAUGAACUUCAUUCCUGUGUUGGGGCGAAAAGCUUAAGCUAAUUCUCAUUUUGGACAAAUCUGUAUUCUGCAGUUGUAAUGCUAUGAGUUUGUGACCUGAAUUUCCUGCAAACAAAAUCCUUACUAUAUGCCCAUCUGCAAAGUCAAGUAACAAGAAUACGAAGCUUAUGAAUCCAGGGGAAGUGGUUCGUAUAUUUUAAACAAGGAGAUGACAAGGCAUAUAUACUAAUUUUCCAUUACCAACUAAUUUUAUGAUCAUACCACAUUUCAUUUUGGAACUGCCUUAAAGGGUAUCAGUUUUCUUGCUGAUGUGCCCAUUGUUUCCCUCAUGUCAAAUUGUCAUCUCACCGCUGCUAUUUUCACCAGGCUUCCAGUCAAAAUAGUGAAGCAAUGAGCCAAGGUUUAGGGGAAGAACGCGAUCAGCUAGUGGAAGACCUGGGCAAAACCUUCUACCCACACCAAAUGGUAUGAACUCAUAAUCCUGACCCUUGUACCCAAUACUGGACUCCAAGAAUCUUUCGGGCUUAAAUGACAGAGCAUCCUCCCAAAUUUCUUCGUCUCUUCCAAUUGCCCAAGCAUUGACAAAAACAUGAGUGUUUUUAGGAUUUCUGAUGUCUUUUCCAGCAUAGAGUUUUAGCAUUAGAGAUAAGAAUAUUACAACAAGAACUAGUACUACAAUUAUUACGAAGUUAAUGAUAGUGUAAAUGAAGUCCAUCCUUGAAGGUCUGGCAAAAAUGGUUGAUUUAUCAGCCAAAUGCUGUCAGUUCCAUUAUAUAUAUGCAGGUUUGCAUUGUCAAGAUUAGGACAUAACAUUUCUUUAAUGUAGCCAUUUCUAUCAUCUUUAUACAUAAUGCAUAGCUUGUAAUAGAUAAGGACGUUAACAUUUUUUAACCUACUGGCAUUUCUGUUCUUUUCCAACAGAAAUUAUAGUACAACUCUCGCGAUUCCUACAUACAUGAAUGGCAUCAUAGCAUUAAGUAUCUUCUGCUUGCUAUAUAUGUUAUGGAACUAAAGUGCAAACGAUAUUCAAGAAUUCUAAUUUGGACCAUCGACAGAUCCAAAUUCAUUAUUUAGGGAAAAAUGACAAUUUGGAAUACAAUAUUCAUCAGGGGAAAGUGUAUCUUGAUAAGAAAGCAUACUGAGUUUCCUUCACUGAAAUAUUAUUAUGAUGAUCAUGCAGCCAUUCGUUUUGGAACUGCUCUUAAGGGCACUAGUUUUCUUGCUGAUACCCCCGUUGUUUCCCUCAUGUCCAUAUUAAUCCUACCACUGACACUUUCACAAAGCUUCCAGUCGAAAUAAUGAAGCAAUGAGCCUAAAAUGAGAGGAAGAACACGAUGAGCCAAAGGAAGACCAGGGCAAAUUCUUCUCCCAGCACCAAAUGGUAUAAACUCAAAACUCUGGCCCUUGUACCCGAUACUCGACUCCAAGAAUCUUUCAGGUUUGAAAGACAAAGCAUCCUCCCAACUCUCUUCGUCUCUCCCAAUCGCCCAAGCAUUGACAAAAACUUGGGUAUUUUUAGGAAUGUUAUAGCCCAUGAAGGUCGUAUCAUGGACCGCCUUUCUUGGUAGCAUGAGUGGAACUGAAGCAUGUAAGCGUAGUGAUUCUUCCACAGUUGCUUGCAAGUAAGGCAGAUUAUUAAUGUCACUCUCUUUCAGUUCCUUGUUUGCUCCCACAACUCUACCAAGCUCCACUUUGAUCUUCUUCAUUGAUUCAGGAUUCCUUAAUAGCUCACACAACGCCCACUCAAUUGUGGCGCUUGUUGUUUCUGUUCCUGCAAUAAACAUUUCCUGAAACAAUAACACAAUCUCAAACUCAAGACACAAAUUCAUUUUCCCUUUAACUGGCCGUAUACAUUUCUACUUGGACUUACCAUUAGAAAGAUAGUUAUUUGGUGGUCUGAUAGUUUAACUGGUUCGUCUUUUCCAUUGCCCUCAUAAUCCAGCACCACGUCCAAGAAGUCCUUGUGCUCUGUUGCCCUUCCUUCCCUGUGUUGCCGUUGUUUGACACGCUCCCUCACAAAUCCUGAAAUAAUUUGCAUUGCUUUUUUUAGCUCUCGAUCUGUUCUCCUCCUUAACCCUUGAAGGUCAAGCCAUCUAAGCCAGGGAAACAAAUCUGAGAUAUUAGGACUCGUCAAACAUACUGAGAAUCCUGACAAGGCCAUGUAAAAUUCAGAGGCCAUCUCAGAAUUUGGAUGCAUCAAGUCUUGAGACAGUGUCAGAUUUCCAAUCAUGUUAAAUAUUGCAGGGAACAGAAAAUCUUUUACUUCAAUUUCACCCGUUGCACUUUCUACUAAUUCCUUCUCUAUCCACGACAACAUCUUAUUGACACAUCUUUGCCUGACUAGAACUGCUUCGUUGAUUCUCUUAUUACUGAAGAGCUCAACUGUACAGAUCCGCCUCAAGGUGCGCCAGUAGGGGCUAUAUAAACCUAACGCCAUAGAGCUCUUGUAGUAGUCAUCUGCCCUCAUCACGUCAUUAUUAAACCGGUCAAUAAAGGAGAGAUCAUGGUUCUUAAACAACUCUUCGGCUGCACCAGCAGAAAGAAUCACCAUGGUCUUGACAGCUCCAAGAUUUAGCCACACAACAGGACCAUAUUUUUGUUUCAGUGCAGCUAGACUUCUGUGUGGUGAAGCUCCAAGAUCGAAUAUAUUGCCAAUGACUGGCCAGCCUUGAGGCCCCGGAGGAAGCUUGGCUCGUCUGUAACUAUUCUUUCUCCUCAAGUGCCAAGCAAGCGGCAUCAGAGUGAUCAAAAUGGACCAAAGAACAUAGUUCCACAUCCACUCCAUGCUCAGAUUACAGAUUUGCUACUAAAU